This 380-nucleotide unclassified non-coding RNA is filed under the name uncultured bacterium. RNAcentral describes it as "contains 16S-23S intergenic spacer region". The record is from RNAcentral.
UCCGGUUUGGCACCGGCAGUCUUCCCAGAGUCCCCGCCAUAACGCGCUGGCAACUGGGAACGGGGGUUGCGCUCGUUGCGGGACUUAACCCAACAUCUCACGACACGAGCUGACGACAGCCAUGCAGCACCUGUGCAUGGACUCCGAAGAGGGCCUCUGGUUUCUCAGAGGUUUCCCAUGCAUGUCAAGCCUAGGUAAGGUUCUUCGCGUUGCGUCGAAUUAAACCACAUGCUCCACCGCUUGCGCGGGCCCCCGUCAAUUCCUUUGAGUUUUAAGCUUGCGCUCGUAGUUCCCAGGCGGAUGACUUCGCGCGUUAGCUGCGUUACUAAGGGAUUUAACUCCCCCAACAACUAGUCAUCAUCGUUUAGGGCGUGGACUAC